AUACUUACCUGGCAAGCGAGACACCGUUAUCAAGAAGGCGGUUCACCCAGGGCGAGGCUCAGCCAUUGCACUCCGGCUGUGCUGACCCCUGCGAAUUUCCCAAAUGUGGAAAUCUCGAUUGCAUAAUUUCUGGUAGUGGGGGACUGCGUUCGCGCUCUCCCCUG
Molecule: small nuclear RNA, 164 nt
Organism: Salmo trutta (river trout)
Lineage: Eukaryota; Metazoa; Chordata; Actinopteri; Salmoniformes; Salmonidae
Gene: U1
Rfam family: U1 spliceosomal RNA
About the family: U1 is a small nuclear RNA (snRNA) component of the spliceosome (involved in pre-mRNA splicing). Its 5' end forms complementary base pairs with the 5' splice junction, thus defining the 5' donor site of an intron.
Source: Ensembl